This is a long non-coding RNA of Esox lucius (northern pike), 3827 nucleotides long. NCBI's taxonomy places the organism in Eukaryota, Metazoa, Chordata, Actinopteri, Esociformes, Esocidae. The record is from Ensembl.
CAGAAAUUCCAGCUCUUUUAAAUGCUUCUCAAUGACAACACGCCUCUACUGUAAACAGUGUUGAAUCGCAUUGGAAACAGAGUCUAACCUGUGGUGAAAUAUUAGGAGAUAAUAAAGUUGUUUUUAGUGUGUGACGAGAAACCCGAAUAUUGCAGACGUCAUUCCCCCAGGCCCUGAAGAGCAGAACGACCAGCUGCACCUGUGCCAUUUUGCUGCUUCAGAAAUGCCUGCCUUUGAUUGACUGGUUCAAUAUUGACUCAGGCCAUUUGAUUAUGGAGGCUCAAUGUACCGUGUAGCGAAAGUCUAGCAACGCCAGUCUUUGAAGAAAAAAAUAAAAGGGAAACUAAACUGUACUGCUUCUCUUUCGGAAUACAAACAUAUUUGUUUGCUGAGGGGAAAUAAGAGGAAAUGAAGCUCACGGAAACUGUUGAAGAUGACUUCAACUGCCUCCCCUGUGACCAAAUUCACCACAGUGUCAUCCAAUGCCACCACCACCACCAAGUCCAGAGAACAAAUACUCACACAGAGCUCAGGGGCUAUGAUUGCCCUCAUCGUCGUGGCGAUCAUUAUCGUUCUAACCAUCCUGCUCGUUAUCCUAAAGACGUACAACAGGCGCACUCAUGUGUCCAGAGUGUUAGGAACCGUCUCCAAAGUUCCACCACGUCCAAAAAUGGCUUCUUCCUCUACAAUCCAUACCAGCAUGCCCUUGGGAAACCUACAAGACGGCUCUGCAUCCAGAAGCUUUGCUCAUUCAAAUAUUGAGUCUGGAAAUGGAUUCCGGCUACCUCGAGCUGAACUAAACAGCCUGGAGGAAAACAACUUGGAGCAGCAGAGUACAGUCAGCGAUUCGACAGUGGUCACCAUACAUGAUCCACCGUCAAUAGGAAAUACAUAGCAGAUCUCUAGCAUGUUGGACACAUGGUGAAGUCUGCAUGCUAUGUUGGAAAACAAAUAUGAACAAAGUGCAUAGGGAAGCAAUGGACACUAAGAUGGACAUAAACAUAUGCAUUUUUGACUACAGUGUUCAGGACUUGAAAAGAAUGAUUCUCCCCUCAGUGCAUUUGGGGCAGUGCAACCAACUUGAACUUGUCCUUGCUAAUUCUACUGUUGUGUUUCUGUCAAAGGUAGAUGUUGACACAUUCUUUAAUGAAUUCAGUUUAUUCUUAUGCAAGGUUUUUUUUAACAACGUCGUGGUUAUGGUUUUCACCAUACAGGGAAAAAUCAUGACAGUGUUUCGGAGAAAUGUCGAUACUGAACCACUGUGGAACUCCGGAAAGCAGACAGUUAUGAAUUUAUAAGUCCUAAUUAGUUUUAUAUCAAAUGAUUUUGCACUUUACACUAUCCAGUUUGUUUUGUUGGGUUUCUGACAAAAUAAAUGUUGAUAGUUCUAAUAUUGUGUGCAUGUUUCUACUACUAGGCUUUAAUGCAAUAUCCAAAUAAAAAGACAAUUCUUAUUUAUCCCCAAAGUUGGAAUAUUUAAAGCUUUGGAAAUGUAAUUUGCCACCAGAAAAACCUUUUCUUCAUCACUACUGUGAAAUAUUCCUGGAUUCUGAUGUUUUUUUGUCAAGAAAAGUUACUCUUGAAGGGGCUGUAUCGAACCUUCAGUACUGACACAAAUUUAGUAAAUAGAACAGACAAUAAUGGAGCUUCUAUAAAGCCGGGAAACAGCAUCCCUGUUGAUGACAGGAUUGUAUACGUAAUUACAUGCACACAAUGUAACCUUGGGUCACUGUAGCAAGCAGGUCCUGGGCCCUUAACAGGCAAGCAGUCAAACAGAAACCAGAGUUCCAAAAAGUGUAUUACCUGGCUCAAUAAACAGAAAAGUACAAAACUACUGACAUUUGAUGCCUCAGUGGGUAGACGGUAACACCAGCUUUGUAACUCGGACCAGGUCCUACCCAGUCCGUUUGCUUAGCUACUCUCACACGCUACCGUCCAAACUCCAGGAGUCCACCAACACUGCAGCAUGAAGCACAGAGCAAUGUUUUCCCGUGACCAAAAUGGAGCGGCUAAAUCCCCUGACCCGUGCCACCCCCAUACUGUUCCAACCAAUACCAUAUGCCCCAAAUGGGUUCCAUCCACUUGGCUAGAGGACAGAUUUCUUCAGUUCCUGGCUGAGGUUCCUGUUUUAAACAUCAAGGUAAAUUCACAGCUGUAUGUGCACAUACAAGCGGUUUCAUGCUUUUUCAAUCCAUGUCUCCCAUUCUGGAAAAGGGUUGGUGACGCUUCCUCUGAUCUUCGACUUGCACACUUUCAUCCAACAAGUUCCACUGAUUGAGCCGAGACAUGAAAAGCUUGGCACUGGACUUGGUGAGACCGAGAUCUAGAAUCAAGUCGUUGAGUUCUUUUUGGUUGGGGUAGUGUGGGUGUUUCUCCUCAGCUCCACCUCUGAAAUUCUCAUCUGGAUCUACAACGUCUUCCUCACUCCCGGAAUUGCUGCUUUCUUCUAUAUAUGGCUGGUCUCUCUUGGGAGGGGUGGGUACGGGGGAGCUCAUGGCAGUGAGGCACCGGGGCGAGGGAUGAAGGAAGGUCCGGAGACAUGAUAGCAGGUGCGUUCUUGCCAGUCCGACGUUUGGAGGGGUCCACCACGCAGAAGUGGCAGUUGCUGGAGUGGUCAAUGGGUUCCCGCCAAGUUCUUGGGAUAGCAAACUUCCUAGCUCUCUUUUCCCCUCAAUACCAUCCUACAGAAAUACAUUUAUUUCACCCAUGACUAAUGUGUGAGAGAUUCUCACAAAAUGUUUGCAUAUUAUAUAUUUUUUCAAUAACACUGAAAAUUGUAAAACAUUUUUAAAUUAAACUGAUAAUUUAAAUGUUUUUACAAAUUUUGUAACAAAAUUGCAAGCAACAAUUGUCCCUACCACCUUCCAGAGUUUUUUUGCAGUGCUCGCAGGUGAAAUGAGGUGCCCAGGGUUUGUCUGGAUUCCCGACAGGCAUGCCAAAAUAUGCCUUGUAGGCCUCACACAUCCUAGCAGAUGCUUCCACCAAGUACUUUUUCGUUCUUGUCUUGAUAAAUUGGCCGCAGACAUAGCGAAAUGCGUCUGCCGGAUGCUUGCAGCCUCUUGAUGCCAUCUCAGAACAAGGAACCAGGCAAGGCUAGUUCAGCCGGCCCGCAAUAAAAAGAAUUGCCACCUCGAGAUUCGAAUUGGGGUCGCCCCACGUGAGACAUUCGCUAGAUCUCAGUAGAGCCUCUUGUCUCUAUCCUGAACAAAUCCUCUUUUGCCACUGGCUGUUUUAAUUGUUAUUUGGCCAUUCGUGAAUGACACUGAUACAGUUAAACUGACUAACGUUUCUUACUAAGUUUACCUCCACCACAAAUAUGUAUAGCGUUUACCACUGGCCAUUUUAACAGCAUAUUAGCAUGCAAUAAGCUUUACUGGUAUCUACUAACUUACUGGAAUAGUCAUAAGAAUUGAUCAAUUGCUAGCGAGUCUGCCAAAGCAGUUUCAUUUCAUGGCAUAAGAACAUAUUUUUUUCUUUCAUGGCAAAACAACACUUUUUUCUCUUAUUGGUGAAUAACUUUUAUACAAUAACUAUAAAUAAAGGCGAUGAUGAACUUUUCCAUCAAGUGAAAAGACGAGAGAAUCGUGGAAUCUACAAGAAAUAAUUAAUAAAGGUUUUUGCUCUCAAUAGAUUCAAACUUAGGUCUUCCACAUGAGAGGCGCUGUCUUUAACCACUACACCACAGCAUUACAUGUUUCAGCAGUCGCUAGACUACAUUGAGGAUUAUGUUAAACUGACUAAAGUUUCUUAUUAAGUUUACCUCCACCAUCGUGUCUAUGAACUGUACUGCUUUUGCCACUGGCCGUUUUAACAGCUUAUUAGCCAGC